Long non-coding RNA from Hibiscus syriacus, 837 nucleotides. RefSeq lists it as uncharacterized. Lineage: Eukaryota; Viridiplantae; Streptophyta; Magnoliopsida; Malvales; Malvaceae. The record is from RefSeq and is a predicted model, not a curated record. The transcript is spliced from 3 exons.
GUGAUCAAAACAUGAAUAAGGUCAAAGUUAAGUGAUCAGAUGCGUAGUUUAUCCAUAAACUUUUGCCCUAAUAUGUAUGUCUCUCGUUCGUCGAGGCUUUCAUUCCUGUAGUGAAACCCUACCAAAGAAAGGACAGCCGCUCUCCUCUUCUCUUCACAGUUGUAGUCACAACGAACCAAUCCGUACUAGAUGAGCAACGAUGACAGUUUUUUCUUAUUUUUGGAAGAACAUAGAUCGUUAUGUUGGCAACUGUUGGGAGUUUAGUAUGCACCUUAAACAGAAAAGAAGCAGUGAAUUAGUUUCCGGGAACUAGUUAGAAGCUAAAUGAAAAGGCACAAAUAACAUUUUUUUACCGCAAGCUCAUAGAAGGUUAGUGAGAAUUAUGUGGCAGAUACAGAGGGAUCGAGUUAACAGAAUGAUAAAUAAGUUUUGGUUGUUGCUAGAAGUUGAUUCACUGGUAUAAAAGGUUCUCGGUGCCCAUGCUGCUUCUUUGUGCCUUUUCUUUUAGCUUUUGAUAAGUCUUCGGAAUCAAAUUCCCGGUUUCUUUUCUUGCUACUAAUUGACAUCGAGCUCAAUGGGUUUAUAGAGUUAUCAUAUGGCGACAAUGGUGGUCUGUUCACACCAUAUUGUGCCUUUGUGCUUCAAAUGUUUCACUCUGCUUCCCUCCUAAACCCAAAUUUUCCCCUCAAAUUUCAAAUCAAUAGUUCAUCCAGGUACACUAGAUUCAGGUUUUCUUUUUGAUCUGCUAUUCUUUACUACAUCCACAUCGCAUUUAGAUCUUUACCUGUCAAAGACAAAAUCUUUACCACAUUGAUUUCAUUUCGUUUUCAAUUUCAA